CAUUGAGAUCAAGCAUGGCGACUGCUUGGAUGCUCACCACACUUGCUGCAGGCUGCAGCAGCACCACAGUGAGCGUGGUACACGUAGGAAGGGCUGAGCCUUAGGCACCUGUGGGUAGUCUGGGUUAAACUUGGGCAGACUGGGCAGAGCAGAGUGUGAGUCCACACUACGUGUUGACCACCCAUGUGAUUCCUCUCAUGGGGUGUUUUGGAGCUUAGAUUGAGCAGAGUCUUGGAGCCGUACUUAUCAGGUGGACCUGAGUGUCCUCAAUGAGCUUGACUCAGACUCUGCCCUACUGUGUCUUGGUCAAGUUUCACUCUAGCUGGGAAACCUGAGUUGAUUUAAAACGAACUAGGAUUUCUCUUGUUAGAGCUCUCUGAGAAUCUAGUUUAGCAAGGAAUUUAAGUGUAUGCAUAAGGCUGUCCCUUUUGCAGAAAGCCACUCAGGUUUAUGUAGAAGGCUUGCUAAAAUCUGUCAAACGAAGCACUGGUUGAAAUGCUUUCUUGACAAAGAGGAAUUCCUAAUUGGAGGCAUUUAGGAAUUGAAUCAUCGUAAUAAAAAAACCCUCUAUGCAAGGAGGUAGCAGUGAAAGGAGGUAAUAUAGUAUUGUCUGAACAUGUUUAUACAGGCUAUAUAUUGUGUGUUGUUAUUGUAGUUCUUCUGCAAUAUAAGCUAGCAAUUAGCAAUUAAAUUCCCAUUAUAGGAUCAUGUUGGUAAUUGAGAUAAACUGUAAAUGUGUAACUGUUUUAAACCUUUCUUUUAACUAACCGAAAUACUGUAGUACUUACAUAAUUUAGAGAUAAUAUACCCAUUAGUAGAGUUUAUGACUCAAUAAACAGCUCCCACAAGUUCAUAAAAGCCAGAACCGUAAACACCAGAACUAUUAAUGCAACAGAAAUUCUGUGCCUCCCUCUUUUCUUGGUGGUCUAGAUAGAGCAAGGGGAAAUGCUAUCUCAGAAAAAAAACAUUUAUUCUGGCUAUAUAAAUAUAAAUGAAUUGUCUUAAAAUCCAUCUGGAAAUUUCCUCUCCUCCCCAUGUCCCAGGUGGUCUGGCAAGAAUGAUGCAUUCUGCUUUUGUCUGCAGGCAAGAGCAAGAGCUCCCAUUUGAAAUCAUUUACAUGAAAGAAUUGCGUGUAAAAGCACUGGUGGUAUCCUCACCCCGCCUCUCCCUUCUGGAGAAAUGGGAACAAUAUCUUCUCUAGAGCUGGGUUUCAAUGUACUUUUUCUUUUCUUUUUUUUUUUUUUUUUAAAGGAAAAGCCUCAUCAAAGUGCCUGGACUUCACAAUUUUUUAACCUCUGCUGCUGGCAUUUUUUCCCUAUUCUGACAGCUAAGUGAAUUUUAGAGAAGAGCAUGUAUUGCUAGGAGUUUAAUACAAGCAGAGCUUUUGUAGCUCAAGCCUUUUUCAUUUGGAGUUGAGGGAAGUGAUUAAUUAAGCCAUUUGCAACAAAAAAAAUGAACCCUUUCCUUUGUCUGAAAGAGCUUUAUUUUGCAGCAUGGUAGAGCACCAUUCUGCUUAGCAACUCAUUGUGCAAUGAACCACCUCUAUCUUGUCACUUACUUUGCUGCUAACGGACUUUACUUCCUCUAUUGUUAAAAUCAUAUUGUUUGAGUUUAACAAAAUGCAUUAAGUUUUUGUCAUUGCUAGAUGACUGGGUUUGAAUGUGUGUGAAAAGCUGGAGGUACACAACAGAGCCACUGCUCUUGCCAUCCCUCUCCCAGUAGGUAACUCAUCCUGGGAAGAAACACAUGGUUUUAAUUUGUCUUGCUGUUGCAUCAUGUCUUCUGUUUUUGCCACUUUUGUGUGAGUGUUUUUUUCCAGAGUAAGGAUCUCAAGUGACUGUUGGGAUUUUUGUCUUAUCACCUCUCCACUGCUGGAUUCCUGACCUUUACGACUACGCCUACAAGGGAGUUUGGCCUUCAGGACCCCAGUAAAGCUCAUUUUCACAAAAGGGAGAAACUCAGACAUUCUGUUCUGCAGAAGCCUGGUAAGCAGUGAGCAAAUAAGUGUCUUUUGGGCUUUGAGCCAUUUGCAUAUCACUGGCCUUCCCAGUUUAUCCUGAAGUUUUAAGUUUCCAUAACAAUGGUAUCAAACAAGGAGGCACUCCCUUGGGAAUGUGCCUGCCCCUUUCCCUUUCACCCAAUGACUAACACUCAUAAUGCUCAGCAAAGUUUCACAGCCUUGCAGCAGGUUCAGAGAUGCCCCUUUUGAUUCCCUGUUGGCAACAACAUAAUGAAGAUAACCCAAGGCUCGAAGCAAUAGGAUGUUCAAAUUAGAAAGAAUCUUAAUGCAUCUUAAUGAAGCAAAAUUCCUUUCAGGAGGCAAACAGUUAUGAAGAACCUGAACUGUUGCUGCUGAGGUCCCAACAGUUUAACCAUUGAUUUCUGUGGGAAUACUUUAUGGGAAAGGGCAAUUGCUUCACUGCUUUCCCGUCCUUGCACUCCUCAACUCGUCUCAGGGUAGUCAACAUGCUUCAGCUGUAGUAGCCAGGUCCUAAGAAUGAGUCAGAUCCUGGCAGAUCCCAGCGCAAAAUGCAGUAUUGCAGAUAUGUAGGUAUGGGGGUCUGUGACGGAUCAACUUGACUCCUUAACCAAACUAGUGGUAGUUUGGUACAGGCUCCAAAGGAGGUAAAGGCCUAAACCGUAACUGAGCCAAGAACUUCUCUAGUUCCAAUCUAUUCCCUGAGAACCCAGAAAGGAGCAGAGUGACACAAUGAGCAUCCAUGCAUAUGAGCUUGGAACAUUGAUCAUGCGAUUAAUACAUGAAUAGCCAGUAGCUUUUCCAAGACUCAUUUAUCAAAGAACAAAGAAAGUUGUGAGUAUAAGGAGCCCCAUGCAUACCUUUCCCGUUGCAUGCAAUUUGACUAUGAGCCAACCACUUCAUCCCAUAAAUAUGACAGGCUAAGUGAGCCACCUUUGAGCUCUCCCUGCUGAGCAGCCUGGCUGCAUGGUGGCGAUCUCCCCUUGAGCUGGGACGCCUCUCAAGGUUGGUUCCCAAGGCAGAGAAACCUUUCACUGACAACAGAUCAUUGGACACUUUUUCUGAAAGGGUCACAGCAUUGUGAAACACGGAGGGUAUUUUACUCCUCAACGGACCCUGCUUUGAACAGCCAAAGGCUGUCUUAGCCUCUUUAGAUGCUGGACUUGACUUCAGCUGACUUUCUACCAGGAUAUGGAAAUCUUUUCAGAAUCACAAAUCUCCUCACUUGGCUUUUUGAAAUACCCAAUACUGGCUGGAGCUAUUUGAUGAUGAUCCCCAAAAUCAUGAUCCAGACCUGACGGUUUAUUUCUAUGCAGCCACUACUCUUCACUGUCUGAUCUGCUGGUAACCUGUGAAGAAAAAAAUCUAGCAGAUUGUAAAUUGCACAUCAGAUUUUCCAUGCUAUGUGUCAUAUACCGCAUGUAUUUAAUUUAUGCUAUUUAAGUUAUGUCUUCUGUAUGCCUGGACGUGCCAUGAAUGUGUUGAUGGAUGCAAUAAGAGGUCUCUCUCUUGCGCUAUACAGGCAGCAGCACCUAUGACAAUGCAGUUUUUUGUCCCUAUGCUUCACAAUCCCUGGAGAUAAAUACACUCUUCCGUGUUACCUUUGGAGUAGAUGCUAGUUGUAACCAUCUUAGACACCAUUUCUGAGGACACUAAUCCAUAACAAUACAGGAACAUUAUUUCCUGAGUUGAUAAAAAGCUUGGAAGCAGGCCAAACCCCUUUACUGAAAUAGUGCAAGUCCUCCUUAGCUUUUACUCAGCUGAUCCUCCUGAAAUACCCAAUAAAGAAUGAUUUAAACAUUCCAGCCAUGGGAAUCUUUCUGUUGGAUUUCAGCGAUAGUGACGAGGUCAAGCUUGUGUUUCUAAAGGAGCAAAAAUUGUUCCCCAUUCACUAUACAAGCAAGUACAGAAUGUCUUCUCUUGGUCUAUAAAGAUGUUUCUCUUGAACUUUCUGAUUUGAUGCUAAUGGAAUGGUUGGAUCAUCUCUUGUCACUUCUUUGCUCCAGUGUGCCAUGAGGAUUACUUAACCAGAUUUAAAGAUUAAAGAUUUAAAGAUUACUUAACCAGGAAGUUACCAGGAAGCUAACAUCCUCAGAAGGAGGCUUCCCAGCAUACUGCAGCCCCUAAACCAGAGAGCAGAGACAGCUGAACCACAAUAGCUGCUUUUGGCAUUUUAAAAUGGCCAGUGGUAAUUUUGCUUAUGAAAUGAAUUUUCUAGUUCUUUCUCACGUAGCACAGGAGACAGCCUGUCUCAGUGCAGAUUGAAUUAUUAUAAUGAAGCAGUCAUCACUUUGCUUCUAAUCUGCCCAUACUCUGAUGAGGAUUUGCCAAGUGAUAAACAGAGACAAUAGCAAAUACAGCUAAGAUAUUGGCUGGCUUCCU
Cuculus canorus (common cuckoo) is the source of this 4360-nucleotide long non-coding RNA. RefSeq lists it as uncharacterized. Lineage: Eukaryota; Metazoa; Chordata; Aves; Cuculiformes; Cuculidae. The record is from RefSeq and is a predicted model, not a curated record. The transcript is spliced from 3 exons.